RNAcentral lists this ribosomal RNA (773 nucleotides) under Streptococcus anginosus. Its description in RNAcentral is "bacterial SSU rRNA". It matches the Rfam family "Bacterial small subunit ribosomal RNA", at positions 28 to 776 of the family's 1533-position model. Lineage: Bacteria; Bacillati; Bacillota; Bacilli; Lactobacillales; Streptococcaceae. The record is from RNAcentral.
GACGAACGCUGGCGGCGUGCCUAAUACAUGCAAGUAGGACGCACAGUUUAUACCGUAGCUUGCUACACCAUAGACUGUGAGUUGCGAACGGGUGAGUAACGCGUAGGUAACCUACCUAUUAGAGGGGGAUAACUAUUGGAAACGAUAGCUAAUACCGCAUAACAGUAUGUAACACAUGUUAGAUGCUUGAAAGAUGCAAUUGCAUCGCUAGUAGAUGGACCUGCGUUGUAUUAGCUAGUAGGUAGGGUAAAGGCCUACCUAGGCAACGAUACAUAGCCGACCUGAGAGGGUGAUCGGCCACACUGGGACUGAGACACGGCCCAGACUCCUACGGGAGGCAGCAGUAGGGAAUCUUCGGCAAUGGGGGGAACCCUGACCGAGCAACGCCGCGUGAGUGAAGAAGGUUUUCGGAUCGUAAAGCUCUGUUGUUAAGGAAGAACGAGUGUGAGAAUGGAAAGUUCAUGCUGUGACGGUACUUAACCAGAAAGGGACGGCUAACUACGUGCCAGCAGCCGCGGUAAUACGUAGGUCCCGAGCGUUGUCCGGAUUUAUUGGGCGUAAAGCGAGCGCAGGCGGUUAGAAAAGUCUGAAGUGAAAGGCAGUGGCUCAACCAUUGUAGGCUUUGGAAACUGUUUAACUUGAGUGCAGAAGGGGAGAGUGGAAUUCCAUGUGUAGCGGUGAGAUGCGUAGAUAUAUGGAGGAACACCGGUGGCGAAAGCGGCUCUCUGGUCUGUAACUGACGCUGAGGCUCGAAAGCGUGGGGAGCGAACAGG